GUCGCCGGGGCCCGUAGUCCUUCUGCGAGGGCGCGAGGACUCCAGGAGCCGUCCUGGUUCGAGCAUUUCUGAAGAAACUGAGUUCCCGGCGUUCGCAGCCUGGGAGUCACAGGCGCCCACCCACCGAUAUGCAAUUUCACUUACAGGAUCUUGUUCUUCAGUGACAUGUCAUAAGAGUUAAUAAUUCCACAAGCCACCCUGCACUGCUGUGAUCCUAACAAUAUUGAAAGGUUGGUGUGUAUCCUUUCCUACCUUUCCUCAUUCUAAAAUGUUUCCUCGUUCUAAAUGCCAAGCUGGUUUUGAACAACUGACCUCAGGUGAUCCACCUACCUUGGCCCCUCAAGGUGCUGGGAUUAUAGGCAUGAGCUAACAUGCCCAGCCCUAAUCUGCUCUUCUUAGAUGGAUACUUGUCAGAUUGGGUUAAGACCCACUCUCAUGGCCUCAUUUUAACUUAAUUUUCUCUUUAAUAAAAGUCCAAAUGCAGUCCAUUCUGAA
This 495-nucleotide long non-coding RNA is filed under the name Homo sapiens (human). RNAcentral describes it as "TMEM11 divergent transcript, transcript variant 1 (TMEM11-DT)". Lineage: Eukaryota; Metazoa; Chordata; Mammalia; Primates; Hominidae. The record is from RNAcentral.